GACAGUGUAGCAUAAUGGUUAGAGUGUUCGGCUAGGAUCUGGGAGAGCAGGGUUCAAAUCCCCGCUCAGCCA
Molecule: non-coding RNA, 72 nt
Organism: Podarcis lilfordi (Lilford's wall lizard)
Lineage: Eukaryota; Metazoa; Chordata; Lepidosauria; Squamata; Lacertidae
Source: the annotation of a GenBank genome assembly